Molecule: ribosomal RNA, 253 nt
Filed under: uncultured bacterium
Lineage: Bacteria
Description: partial 16S ribosomal RNA
Rfam family: Bacterial small subunit ribosomal RNA
Source: RNAcentral
UACGGAGUGUGCAAGCGUUACUCGGAAUCACUGGGCAUAAAGCGCGCGUAGGCGGGCUUUCAAGUCGGUUGUGAAAUCCCUCAGCUCAACUGAGGAACUGCAUCCGAUACUGUUUGUCUUGAGGACGAGAGGGGAGAGUGGAACUUCUGGUGGAGCGGUGAAAUGCGUAGAUAUCAGAAGGAACGCCGGUGGCGAAGGCGGCUCUCUGGGACGGUACUGACGCUGAGACGCGAAAGCGUGGGGAGCGAACAGG